CGACCGUCACCAUCUCGACCAGCUCAAGCACCGGCCGCCGGCGCGGAGGCGGAGAGAAUCGCGCCACAAAAAGAGAACGCACGUUCCCCCUACUUGCUGGCACCUUAUCUGCCGAUUUUUAUCUUUUUUUCGGCGCACGAUGACGCGAUAUCAGCGCUUCUCGUGGUGCCCAGUGCUGCUGGUGAUGGCCCUGUACACCGGCAGCGUGCUGCUCUUCACCACCUCAAUGCUCUCCACCUCCACAGUGAUGCGGACGGUGGCGACAGAGCCGUGCUCUGGGACAAAGGUGCCGCCGGCAGAUCAGGUAAUACUCAUCUUGAUCGAUGCCCUGCGGCCCGACUUUGUGCUGUCCUCCCUGCGCCCCUUCGCCCGCACGGGUGGUCAAUGCACUGCGCACGAGGACGCGCUGGGGCGCCAGCGCUUGGACGGGGUCUACACCGGGCCAACGCUCCACUACAUGGAGGAGUCGUUGCGCUCGAGCCGGUCGGCGUCCGUGGCGUUCUUCCUCGUUGCCGACGCCCCAACGACGACGGCGCAACGCAUCAAGGCGAUCGCCACGGGCACGAUGCCCGCCUUUCUCGAGGCCGGUUCCAACUUCAACAGCGAGGCCAUCGAGCUGGACAGUAUUCUCCGUCAAGUGAACGGUAGCGCUGUGCUGCUGGGCGACGACACCUGGGAGAAGAUGUUUCCUAACACACCGGCACGGCGCCACUGGAAGAGGGCGGUCGGCAUUCCUUCUUUCGACGUCGCCGACUUCGACACGAACGACAAUGCCGUGCUGGCGGAGGUGUACAGCGUGCUGGCAGCCGAGACGCCAGAGGCCGUGUCACGGGCCAGUUUCGGCUCCCAUGCGGAGGCAGAGGAGCAGGAAGGGCACGCGCGGCUCGUGGUGGUGCACUUUCUCGGCAUCGACCACGUCGGCCACCGCGUCGACUCCGACAACCCGUUCAUGAAUGGCAAGAUCCUGCAGCUGGACCAGAUGCUGCGCAACGUCAGCCGCACGUUGCGGGAGCGGGCGACGUCGAUGAACACAAUGUUGCUAGUGCUAGGCGACCACGGUAUGACCAACAGCGGUGACCACGGUGGUGGCUCGGCGCAGGAGACAGACACCUUCUUGUUCGCCGAGUAUUUCUCAGGGACGGAGUCGGGCGCGACGCACGCGCAUCCGCGGUCGUCGCCCGGGGCGAAAUUGGCGAGAGCGCAGGCGCUCAUUGAGCAACGCUGGCGAGAUGGUGUGGACGCUGAGUUUGACCGACUCCGCAGCUGCCACGCACGUGCUGGGGUGCCGCGCGACCGACUUGGCGCGACGUAUCAGGUCGAUGUAACGGCCACCGUGGCUGUGCUCUUGGGAAGACCCAUUCCGUACUCGAACUUUGGCCGCGUGAUCCCUGAGGUCAUGGUGCUGGCAAACUCCUCUGCCGACAUCGACGCCGUCGAACGAUGCAAUCUGCGCCAGCUGCAGCGUUACUUCAAGGAGUCGGAGAUGAAGGUGCCGCGCGACGCCUCGUGGACGAGGCCGGGGAUAUCCGUCACGCAGCAGCUAGCUGACAUGAGCCUCUACGCUCGCCGCACCCGCACGGACAUGAGCCGCCUCGGCAUGUUCCUCGGCUCCACCGGGUUACUGCUGUGCGCCAUGUCUCUCCUGUGGUCCCCAACCAUCCGCGCGCACGUUCUGCCGUGCAGCGGUGCCGGCUGGUUUAUGCGGUGGACAGCUCUCACACUGCUGCUCCGGCUGUGCUCGGUGUUCUCGAACAGCUUCGUCGUGAACGAAGACUCGGAGGUGCUCGGGCUGCUGAGCUCGCUCCUUGUGUUCUUGCUGGCGUCGCGGGUAUCGGAGUCGUGGGCACAGCGCCGAUUGAGCCGCGCAGGUCCGUCGUCGCCAGACGACGGCGCCAAGCUCACCACGGCGCAGCAGUCGUACCGUUUAACCGCACUUGACGGUAUCUGCCGGGUUGCCACCAUUCUUCCGCGUGAGACAAUCUUCCUCGGCCUUCUCGCUGUCGGACUGCGACUCGGCGUGCCAAUGCUGCUGCGCUACCGCGCCCACAUCACGCACACGGUGGACACGGAGAGCGCUGUGGACCGCGUGCUGCUCAGACUGCCGGCGGGGCUGCGGUUUGAGCGAGUAGGCAUUGCUUUCGGCGGCGUCGCCUGGUCUGCAUUGUACCCACACCAUGUGGGACGCACAACUGUGGUCGUCACAUGUGCGUGUCUGGCACUAGUCUACCAUGUCCCUGUAGCCCACCAUGCCGUGCCGCUGCUCUGUAUUGCCGCUUACCCACUGGCAUGUAAGUGGACGUCGUCCUCGUCGGUCUUGCAGCGCCGCGCUCGUAGUCGAAUGACAUCAUUAGCCGUCGCCUCUGGCCACACCGCCUACGCGUACCUCGUCACGGUGCUGUGGCUGAGCUCGUUAUGCAACGAGCGGGUGGGGACAGCGAUUGUGGUGGCGCUGUACGGCACCAGUCUCCCAUCUCUGUGUUGCUUGCUCCGCGUUGAGCCGGUACUCACGCAGGGUGUCGUGCUGCACCUCUCCGCCUUCGUCGCCUUCUUCGCUGAAGGCCACCAGUGCAUGCUGAAUACGAUCGACUGGAGCUCGUCGCUUGUAGGAAUGCACGGCUACAACAUGUAUGCGGGCGGCGCACUGGUGCUCAGUCGCACCUUUCACGCUUUCUUGCUGGUACCGUUUGCCCUGCGCGCGUGGCCUGGCGCCGUCGCCGCUGCCGCCGUGGCGAAGGUGAACGACAGCCAUAUCGACGGCGCGGCAUGUGAGGAGGCGAGGAACGGACAUUCCUCCGCAGCCACCGUGGCACUCUCGAUGCCCGCGCCGCGAGCGGGAGUCUCCGCUGCUGUUGUUAUAACCGUGUAUACGUAUAUCAUGCUGGCGCAGUCCGCCAUCUCCUGUUUCAACGGGUACAUUCAGAAGACACACCUCAUGCUUUUUCCCGUCUUCUGCCCCAAGCUGCUCUUCGACGGCGUCAUUGCUCUGCUGACUUGCGCAGCAGCGCUGCUUGCACUCAUUCGUCUCCCUCCUUCCAGGCAUUGUGUUGUUUUCCCUGCGCUGACGUCGGAAUAAGCGCGGGCGGUUGUGGCCGAAGGGGGCAGGGGGAGGGGACGGGUGCGCGUGGCGCGGAAACCAUCCAUGUAGGGCAGCUUGCAGGGUGCUCCGUCCAGCCACCAGCGCGUGUGCGCAGCGCUCCCUUGUAGAUAUGCGAGGCGCGCACGUCGCCGAUAGUGGGGCCUGUGACAGGGCUGGCCGGUAGAGUGGUGGUGGUGGUGGUCAGCAUGUCGUGUGGCAGGGAAAGGAACUUGCCGCAUAUGAAGGCAAUAACGAAAAAAUGCGCUCACUGCUGCCCGUCAUAUUCUCUCUCUCGACUACCGUCGCACGCGCUGAG
Molecule: unclassified non-coding RNA, 3392 nt
Filed under: Leishmania donovani
Lineage: Eukaryota; Euglenozoa; Kinetoplastea; Trypanosomatida; Trypanosomatidae
Description: gene:LdHU3.24.0380(CDS-product:ethanolamine_phosp hotransferase_putative)
Source: RNAcentral